RNAcentral lists this long non-coding RNA (219 nucleotides) under Elaeis guineensis (African oil palm). RNAcentral describes it as "long non-coding RNA (EGUI_LNC015249)". The record is from RNAcentral. Lineage: Eukaryota; Viridiplantae; Streptophyta; Magnoliopsida; Arecales; Arecaceae.
AGUCGAGAGGUUGCAGUAGCUCUUAAUGUACCCAUUUAAAUAAUGAGAAAGCUGGUAAGAGGCAUUUCUUCUCAAUAAAUACUAUAAACAUAUAUGUAAGAUAAAUAAAAUUGUAGGAGCUCUAACUUACCCAAAUGAUGCACUCCAUGGCUCCUUUUCUCACCUCCUUCCGUGGUAUACCCAGUAGUUUAUUUGCAUCGGUCGGAAGAAGCAUCCUAG